ACGACCUUACUUGAACAGGAUCUGUUCUAUAGGAUCGUACUACUGUGUCCUUAUAUUCUAAGGAGACAGGAACCUAAGUCUGGUGGAUGACAUGUGACCGUGUGAUCAGAGCGUGAUUAACGGUUCUGUGAUGGGAACUUCGGUGACCACUGCAGUUGGCUGUAGAGGAUCGUUCCCGGAUUCACUUGUGAGCCGGGAUGGUCACACGGUUGUCUGACAGAUU
RNAcentral lists this small nucleolar RNA (223 nucleotides) under Cicer arietinum (chickpea). RNAcentral's name for it is "Plant small nucleolar RNA U3". It matches the Rfam family "Plant small nucleolar RNA U3". Rfam says of the family: Small nucleolar RNAs (snoRNAs) are involved in the processing and modification of rRNA in the nucleolus. Lineage: Eukaryota; Viridiplantae; Streptophyta; Magnoliopsida; Fabales; Fabaceae. The record is from Rfam by way of RNAcentral.